AGGAAAAUAUACGAUUAUACUUUGUUGAAUUUUAGUGAAACUUUUAUUUGGCUUAUUUCUUUGAACUCAAAUAAAUUCUAUUUUUCAUGAGUAUUUAUGGGUUCAAGGGUGGUGUUGUCCCAGUGUGAGGGUUAUGGGUCGCUCAACAUACUUCCGAUGAGUUAGGAGGUUUCGGGGACUGUUGUUACUUCCGGGUACUUGAAUCCUCACAAUGGUGUUAGCAUAAAAAACUGAUUAGGUGUGUAAUGGAAAACUCGAAAAACAGCAAACGGUGCAAGCCAAAAAUUGCACAGUCGGCGUUACACAGCCGUGUGACAGACCGUGUGUGUCACACGAGCGGGGUUAUUUGAAACGUAUGGCCCACAUGGGCAUGUGUUAGACUGUGUAGACCACACGGGCUGGGCCAGUUGGUCUGUGUGGGCCACACGGGCGUGUUGGCCCAUUUUUUUCAAAAAUUUUUACUUAGGCUUGUUUGACUCUAAAAUUCGUAAUUACACUUUCACUGGGGUCUAUCUGGCUUAAAUAUGACUCUGAAACAUGAAAUAUGAUAUUUUGCUAUUGUAUGUGAUAUGGUUAAUGUAUGUGUUUCUGAUUUGUUGCUUGGAAUGUGUUACACACUGGGCUUCUAGCUCACGUGUUUGUUUAAUACGUUUUAGGUGGUCUUCUGACUUAGGACCGGACAAUGUGCGGGUGCUCGGAUUGUUUUUCUUAGCUAAUUAAAAUAUGGUGAUUUUCGUAAUUAUCUAUUUUGGACUUUUAGGACUAUAAUAUGUUUUUUAGGCUUUGUUUUGGUUUUUGUUUAAAUCGUCGGUAAUUGUUAUUUUUGAACGUGAAACUGUAAAAUCACACGAGUUAACAAAAUGAAUUUCGGUUUUCAAAAAUAAAACUCUGAAAAUUUUUCCACUACAAAUUAAGUAACUUCUCAAGUGUUUUUCUGUAAAUGAGAUCAAGCUAAGAGCUAUUUUGUAAAAUAAAUAAGCUCUAUGUGUAAUUUUCGAAAUAAUAUGUAAGUGUUUUGUCAAAAAUAUUAUUUUCAUAAUUCUCAAUUUCUAAAGCUAGGAUUUAACUUUUGGGUUUUCAAACAAACCAAUGUAAUAUCUUCGAAUUUGGCCAUAACGUCUAGGUCGGGUUUUGGGUGUUACAGGGAGUUUCAAUUUAGUUCUCUUUAUUUUCACCUUUUGUUAUGAGGGCUAUAAUUUAUUAUAGGUUUUUUCAAAAUGCCAAAUUGGGAGAUUGUUGGGACUUUGAUUGUUGCAUGUUCGAAUAACAUAUGGAACGACAACUUUGGUGUAGUCAAAGACGUUCGGGUGCCAUGUUUGAAUUUUGAUUUAAUCUUAUUAAUAUAGAAAAUGAAAAGUAUUUUGUGACAGAAUAUCAUGUUUAUCUAUUCAACUAACUUAAAGGACAAGGGAGAAGUUUGAAGUGUUAUACAUGCUUACGUUUAUCCUUAUCUUAUCCUUAUCUCUUAAGAGUUUUGAUGUUGAUGGAAAGUUGUUAUUUAAAGAGAUUUAUUUGAAUAUUUUUCAAGAUAAAUUAUGAAGAUAAUUACCAACAUUUAAACAUGUGAUAAUGACUUUGUUUUUUAGUGUUGAUCAUAUUGGAGGAGAGCCUACAAAUAGGCUGAUUGAUCGACUUCUACUUCAACCGUUUAGGGUGUUUUAGACACUCUUUGUUUAGGAAUUUUCUUAAAAAGAUAUUGUAUGUAAUGUGAGGUAUUAGGGGGAGUGAUUUGUAACAAUUUGAGUUCGACUUUGGAGCCGUGAUUAUCGUAUGGAAAGGGUAUACUGUGCUGCGAUUCUCUCUUUACUUAUCUCUUCGACUCACUUACGUUUUUGGACUGAUGAUGCAAACUCUCUAUUUCUAUCCAACUUCUAUUUCAGUGGAAGUUAGAAUGAAAUUGUAAUUUAAAUGCAAACUGAAAGCUUUUGCACUUUGGAUUUGUAUUUGUUUCUCUUUAUUGUUUCUCCUUCAACAAAGGAUCAUUUUUGUUUUUAAUAUUUCUUUUGAUAUUUUUAGAAAAUUUUAAAUUUUUAUGGAUUUCUAUAUUUUUAAAUAAUUUUUUAUAAUUUUUUU
Molecule: long non-coding RNA, 2073 nt
Filed under: Gossypium barbadense (sea-island cotton)
Lineage: Eukaryota; Viridiplantae; Streptophyta; Magnoliopsida; Malvales; Malvaceae
Description: long non-coding RNA (GBAR_LNC017007)
Source: RNAcentral